Molecule: ribosomal RNA, 763 nt
Filed under: Lysinibacillus capsici
Lineage: Bacteria; Bacillati; Bacillota; Bacilli; Caryophanales; Bacillaceae
Description: bacterial SSU rRNA
Rfam family: Bacterial small subunit ribosomal RNA
Source: RNAcentral
GACGGGUGAGUAACACGUGGGCAACCUACCCUAUAGUUUGGGAUAACUCCGGGAAACCGGGGCUAAUACCGAAUAAUCUCUUUUGCUUCAUGGUGAAAGACUGAAAGACGGUUUCGGCUGUCGCUAUAGGAUGGGCCCGCGGCGCAUUAGCUAGUUGGUGAGGUAACGGCUCACCAAGGCGACGAUGCGUAGCCGACCUGAGAGGGUGAUCGGCCACACUGGGACUGAGACACGGCCCAGACUCCUACGGGAGGCAGCAGUAGGGAAUCUUCCACAAUGGGCGAAAGCCUGAUGGAGCAACGCCGCGUGAGUGAAGAAGGUUUUCGGAUCGUAAAACUCUGUUGUAAGGGAAGAACAAGUACAGUAGUAACUGGCUGUACCUUGACGGUACCUUAUUAGAAAGCCACGGCUAACUACGUGCCAGCAGCCGCGGUAAUACGUAGGUGGCAAGCGUUGUCCGGAAUUAUUGGGCGUAAAGCGCGCGCAGGCGGUCCUUUAAGUCUGAUGUGAAAGCCCACGGCUCAACCGUGGAGGGUCAUUGGAAACUGGGGGACUUGAGUGCAGAAGAGGAAAGUGGAAUUCCAAGUGUAGCGGUGAAAUGCGUAGAGAUUUGGAGGAACACCAGUGGCGAAGGCGACUUUCUGGUCUGUAACUGACGCUGAGGCGCGAAAGCGUGGGGGAGCAACAGGAUUAGAUACCCUGGUAGUCCACGCCGUAACGAUGAAUGCUAAGUGUUAAGGGGGUUUCCGCCCCUUAGUGCUGC